GGCUCGAUGGUGUAGUUGGUCAUCACGUUCGCCUCACAAUCCGUGCAGCACGCGAAAGGUCCCGAGUUCGAGCCUCGGUUGAGUCA
This 86-nucleotide transfer RNA is filed under the name Exserohilum turcicum. RNAcentral describes it as "tRNA-Val". Lineage: Eukaryota; Fungi; Ascomycota; Dothideomycetes; Pleosporales; Pleosporaceae. RNAcentral also lists the same sequence under 1 other name. The record is from RNAcentral.